GCUGUAGCUCAGUGGUAGAGCACUUGCCUUGUAUACGUGAGGCACUGGGUUUGAUCCUCAGCACUGCA
Molecule: transfer RNA, 68 nt
Filed under: Marmota monax (woodchuck)
Lineage: Eukaryota; Metazoa; Chordata; Mammalia; Rodentia; Sciuridae
Description: tRNA.Thr
Rfam family: tRNA (bases 3-63)
About the family: Transfer RNA (tRNA) molecules are approximately 80 nucleotides in length.
Source: RNAcentral